GUAGGUGGCAAGCGUUGUCCGGAAUUAUUGGGCGUAAAGCGCGCGCAGGCGGUUCUUUAAGUCUGAUGUGAAAGCCCACGGCUCAACCGUGGAGGGUCAUUGGAAACUGGAGAACUUGAGUACAGAAGAGGAAAGCGGAAUUCCACGUGUAGCGGUGAAAUGCGUAGAGAUGUGGAGGAACACCAGUGGCGAAGGCGGCUUUCUGGUCUGUAACUGACGCUGAGGCGCGAAAGCGUGGGGAGCAAACAGGAUUAGAUACCCUGGUAGUCCACGCCGUAAACGAUGAGUGCUAAGUGUUAGGGGGGUUUUCCGCCCCCCUUAGUGCUGCAGCUAACGCAUUAAGCACUCCGCCUGGGAGUACGGCGCAAGGCUG
Molecule: ribosomal RNA, 373 nt
Filed under: uncultured organism
Description: partial 16S ribosomal RNA
Rfam family: Bacterial small subunit ribosomal RNA
Source: RNAcentral